This 317-nucleotide unclassified non-coding RNA is filed under the name Hevea brasiliensis (rubber tree). The record is from RNAcentral. Lineage: Eukaryota; Viridiplantae; Streptophyta; Magnoliopsida; Malpighiales; Euphorbiaceae.
UGCCGGCGACCUCACCCAAAAAAUCCGGCCAUCAGAAGGUCGGCAAGUGUGUCUUACAAGCCGUUAUAAGUUUUUGCCGCCAUCCCACUCGCCGGCACGUGGAGGCGCAUCCGCCAUCAUCUGCCGGUCCAAUUGCUUUCGUCGACAUCGCGUUGGGGUGUACACUGCAUCCCUGUUAGCUGUUUUGUCAUAGAGUGCUCUUGUGGAGGUGAUUUGUCUUGGUCCACCUACUACUGGGUAUGUCUCUGGCUUCUAUUACACCGAUCUGCUUUAAAAUUAUGUCUUGAAGUGUUUUUGCUGCCUAUAGAGGUGUGUCU